GCCAAUGUGGUGUAGUGCUUUGAGUACUGGACUACAACUCUGGAGACCAGGGUUCGAUUCCCGCUCUGGCU
RNAcentral lists this transfer RNA (71 nucleotides) under Phrynosoma platyrhinos (Desert horned lizard). RNAcentral describes it as "tRNA-OTHER". Lineage: Eukaryota; Metazoa; Chordata; Lepidosauria; Squamata; Phrynosomatidae. The record is from RNAcentral.